GUGUCAGCCGCCGCGGUAAUACGUAGGUGGCAAGCGUUGUCCGGAUUUACUGGGCGUAAAGGAUGUGUAGGCGGAUAUUUAAGUGAGAUGUGAAAUCCCCGGGCUUAACUUGGGGGCUGCAUUUCAAACUGGAUGUCUGGAGUGCAGGAGAGGAAAGCAGAAUUCCGAGUGUAGCGGGGAAAUGCGUAGAGAUAUGUCAGAAAACCAGUGGCGAAGGAGGCUUUCAGGACUGUAAAUGA
RNAcentral lists this ribosomal RNA (239 nucleotides) under uncultured bacterium. RNAcentral describes it as "partial 16S rRNA". It matches the Rfam family "Bacterial small subunit ribosomal RNA", at positions 505 to 743 of the family's 1533-position model. The record is from RNAcentral.